UAGCGGAGGAAAAGAAACCAACAGGGAUUGCUCUAGUAACGGCGAGUGAACAAGCAAAAGCUCAGUUUUGAAAGCCUACUUUGUAGGCAUUGUAUUCUGAAGCCUAGAUUCUGGGAAACGGUGUUUAAGUCUUCUGGAAAGGAGCGCCACGGAGGGUGAUAGCCCCGUACGGCACUGACCCCAUUGUAGUUUCUAGGCGUGGAGUCGAGUUGUUUGGGAAUGCAGCUCAAAUGGGAGGUAUGCUCCUUCUAAAGCUAAAUAUUUGCGAGAGACCGAUAGCGAACAAGUACUGUGAAGGAAAGAUGAAAAGAACUUUGAAAAGAGAGUGAAAUAGGACGUGAAAUUGUUGAAAUGGAAGGGUAGGCUGCUAACCAUGUAGGACCGUGUCUGAGGGGAAGAUAAAACGCUACCGGAAUGUGACUCUUCGGAGUGUUAUAGCCGUGGUCAAUGUUCCCACUUAGGCGCGAGGUUCUC
RNAcentral lists this ribosomal RNA (474 nucleotides) under Starmerella lactis-condensi. RNAcentral describes it as "eukaryotic LSU rRNA". It matches the Rfam family "Eukaryotic large subunit ribosomal RNA", at positions 48 to 520 of the family's 3401-position model. The record is from RNAcentral. Lineage: Eukaryota; Fungi; Ascomycota; Dipodascomycetes; Dipodascales; Trichomonascaceae.